AGAGCUCCAGCAGCAUAUAGAAGCUGACUUUUUUCUUUUAAAUGGGAAUACAACACACAGGACAGAUUGUUCUUGUUGUUUGUACUGUCACAAGGACAGAUAGUUGUAUUUGCAGCUCAUUAUUCUUUCCUUUAUUCCUGCUGAUAAACAUCCACUCAGGCCAUUCAGUGGAAAAGAGGUUGGAACUCGGCAUCGAGAGCUUCCAUUUGCAAAGGUAGAUGCCCAAAGAGCAAAGUGGUCAAGGUGACUCAGACAGUGUAAACCUAAGGGCAGAAUGGUGCUAACCUUGCCACCACACCCACUGCAUGACUGGUCUUUACCUUUGUCUUUUCUGAGUCACAUUUUGCAGACCAACGGCCAAGAAUAAGGAAUGAUCCUGGGACCCAUGGACAAGUUUGACACUAUGAAGCAAUUGCCAGACAUCAUAUUACCAUGGGCUUCUUGUUCACACCCUUGAUUUACACAUAGCAAUGUACCUCUCUAUGUGCUGCAUCCAUUAUCACACCGCUUAGUGUUUCCCUAAAGAAAAUGCUUAAAAUUAAGCUAAUGUGUUAUCUUCAAAACAAAGGAAAUCAAAAUGCAA
Callithrix jacchus (white-tufted-ear marmoset) is the source of this 583-nucleotide long non-coding RNA. RefSeq lists it as uncharacterized. The record is from RefSeq and is a predicted model, not a curated record. NCBI's taxonomy places the organism in Eukaryota, Metazoa, Chordata, Mammalia, Primates, Cebidae.